GGGAUCCUACGGGGCGCAGCAGUGAGGAAUAUUGGUCAAUGGUCGGGAGACUGAACCAGCCAAGCCGCGUGAGGGAGGAAGGUACAGAGUAUCGUAAACCUCCUUUGUCAGGGAACAAAGACUGGGACGCGUCCCCGGAUGAGUGUACCUGAAGAAAAAGCAUCGGCUAACUCCGUGCCAGCAGCCGCGGUAAUACGGAGGAUGCGAGCGUUAUCCGGAUUUAUUGGGUUUAAAGGGUGCGCAGGCGGUCUGUUAAGUCAGCGGUCAAAGCCCGGGGCUCAACCCCGGCCCGCCGUUGAAACUGG
This 305-nucleotide ribosomal RNA is filed under the name uncultured bacterium. RNAcentral's name for it is "bacterial SSU rRNA". It matches the Rfam family "Bacterial small subunit ribosomal RNA", at positions 333 to 636 of the family's 1533-position model. The record is from RNAcentral.